UCAUUACAUGACAUGUUCUGAAAACCAACACAGAUGCUUUUAUCGGGUUGUAUCGCAACAUGUCCGAGUCGUUUCAGUUUGUUGGCUCAUUACAGGCACCGUUGUAUUUUGGGUGGAAUUCUACAAGAACCGGCUCCAACGAAACGGUUGCCAUGACAACAGUCGGAUGGACAACACACCAUGCUCAAGCCAAGAUGAGAUUUAUUUGUCAGAAAAGUUUUGACAGCAAACAAACACACUUUCACGCUUCAUUGAUAUAUCUGAUUGUAAUCACCAUUAGUGUAUGUGGCGCACUAAUCCUUAUCUUUCUGAUCG
Physella acuta is the source of this 315-nucleotide long non-coding RNA. RefSeq lists it as uncharacterized. The record is from RefSeq and is a predicted model, not a curated record. Lineage: Eukaryota; Metazoa; Mollusca; Gastropoda; Physidae.